AGAGUUUGAUCAUGGCUCAGAUUGAACGCUGGCGGCAUGCUUUACACAUGCAAGUCGAACGGCAGCACGGGGGUAACCCUGGUGGCGAGUGGCGAACGGGUGAGGAAUGCACCGGAACGUGUCUUCAAGUGGGGGAUAACGCAUCGAAAGGUGUGCUAAUACCGCAUAAUCUCUGAGGAGAAAAGCAGGGGAUCGCAAGACCUUGCGCUUUUGGAGCGGCCGAUGCCUGAUUAGCUUGUUGGUGAGGUAAAAGCUCACCAAGGCUUCGAUCAGUAGCUGGUCUGAGAGGACGACCAGCCACACUGGGACUGAGACACGGCCCAGACUCCUACGGGAGGCAGCAGUGGGGAAUUUUGGACAAUGGGGGCAACCCUGAUCCAGCCAUGCCGCGUGAGUGAAGAAGGCCUUCGGGUUGUAAAGCUCUUUCAGCCGGAACGAAACGGUUACGGUUAAUACCCGUGACUACUGACGGUACCGGAAGAAGAAGCACCGGCUAACUACGUGCCAGCAGCCGCGGUAAUACGUAGGGUGCAAGCGUUAAUCGGAAUUACUGGGCGUAAAGCGUGCGCAGGUGGUUUUAUAAGUCAGAUGUGAAAUCCCCGGGCUUAACCUGGGAACUGCGUUUGAAACUGCAAGGCUAGAGUGUG
RNAcentral lists this ribosomal RNA (647 nucleotides) under uncultured deep-sea bacterium. Its description in RNAcentral is "bacterial SSU rRNA". It matches the Rfam family "Bacterial small subunit ribosomal RNA", at positions 8 to 650 of the family's 1533-position model. The record is from RNAcentral.